This 271-nucleotide ribosomal RNA is filed under the name uncultured prokaryote. RNAcentral's name for it is "partial 16S ribosomal RNA". It matches the Rfam family "Bacterial small subunit ribosomal RNA", at positions 524 to 794 of the family's 1533-position model. The record is from RNAcentral.
UACGGAGGAUGCAAGCGUUAUCCGGAUUUAUUGGGUUUAAAGGGUCCGUAGGCGGGCUAAUAAGUCAGUGGUGAAAUCGAGCAGCUUACCUAUUCAACUGCCAUUGAAACUGUUGGUCUUGAGUGAAUUUGAAGUUGCCGGAAUAUGUAGUGUAGCGGUGAAAUGCAUAGAUAUUACAUAGAACACCAAUUGCGAAGGCAGGUAACUAAGAUUUAACUGACGCUGAUGGACGAAAGCGUGGGGAGCGAACAGGAUUAGAUACCCGGGUAGU